Octopus sinensis (East Asian common octopus) is the source of this 232-nucleotide long non-coding RNA. RefSeq lists it as uncharacterized. The transcript is spliced from 3 exons. The record is from RefSeq and is a predicted model, not a curated record. Lineage: Eukaryota; Metazoa; Mollusca; Cephalopoda; Octopoda; Octopodidae.
GGCUGGAGUCAUCUCAGGUUAAUGGUCUUAGAGAGGUCAUCAUGCAUAGAGCUGACCAGGUCCAAUGAUGCUUCCCAUCCCUGGCAACUCUGUACCACCAUCUGGUGCAGGGCUUGCCAUGGGCCCCUUCCAGCCUGUAGCUGCUGUGUCAAAUGAGAGUGAGGCCCUGGUAGACUCCCUGGCAAGAAGAAGACAGUGUGUUUAUAUUUACACAUAUUUGUAUAUAUGUGUG